CCUACGGGUGGCAGCAGUAGGGAAUAUUGCUCAAUGGGGGAAACCCUGAAGCAGCAACGCCGCGUGGAGGAUGAAGGCUUUCGGAUUGUAAACUCCUUUUGGUAGAGAAGAUGAUGGCGGUAUCUAUCGAAUAAGCACUGGCUAACUCCGUGCCAGCAGCCGCCGUAAUACGGAGGGUGCAAGCGUUACUCGGAAUCACUGGGCGUAAAGGGCGCGUAGGCGGGAUAGCAAGUCAGAUGUGAAAUCCUCUGGCUUAACCAUAGAACUGCAUUUGAUACUGGUAUUCUAGAGUAUGGGAGAGGUAGGUGGAAUUCUUGGUGUAGGGGUGAAAUGCGUAGAGAUCAAGAGGAAUACUGAUUGCGAAGGCGGCCUGCUAGAACAUAACUGACGCUGAUGCGCGAAAGCGUGGGGAGCAAACAGGAUUAGAUACCCUGGUAGUC
RNAcentral lists this ribosomal RNA (440 nucleotides) under uncultured bacterium. Its description in RNAcentral is "partial 16S ribosomal RNA". It matches the Rfam family "Bacterial small subunit ribosomal RNA", at positions 338 to 795 of the family's 1533-position model. The record is from RNAcentral.